Molecule: non-coding RNA, 72 nt
Organism: Phrynosoma platyrhinos (Desert horned lizard)
Lineage: Eukaryota; Metazoa; Chordata; Lepidosauria; Squamata; Phrynosomatidae
Source: the annotation of a GenBank genome assembly
GCCAGUGUGGUGCAGUGGUUUGAACAUUGGUCUAUGACUCUGGAGACCAGGGUUCGAAUCUCUGCCUAAGUU